AUACGGAGGAUGCAAGCGUUAUCCGGAUUUAUUGGGUUUAAAGGGUGCGUAGGCGGAUGAUUAAGCGUGAGGUGAAAUGCCACUGCUCAACAGUGGAACUGCCUCGCGAACUGGUUGUCUUGAAUGCUCCUGCCGUGGGAGGAAUGUGUGGUGUAGCGGUGAAAUGCAUAGAGAUCACACAGAACACCGAUUGCGAAGGCAUCUCACGAAGGGGUGAUUGACGCUGAGGCACGAAAGCGUGGGGAUCAAACAGGAUUAGAUACCCUGGUAGUCCACGCAGUAAACGAUGAUAACUAACCGCUGGGUCGUAGUGAUUCAGUGGCCAAGCGAAAGCGAUAAGCCAUCCACCUGGGGAGUACGACCGCAAGGUUGAAACUCAAAGGAAUUGACGGGG
RNAcentral lists this ribosomal RNA (394 nucleotides) under uncultured bacterium. RNAcentral's name for it is "partial 16S ribosomal RNA". It matches the Rfam family "Bacterial small subunit ribosomal RNA", at positions 523 to 918 of the family's 1533-position model. The record is from RNAcentral.